GGCCUUGUAGUGAAAUUCACGGUGAGUUGCAAACUCACUAAUGUACAUUAGAUGUGUGCCGGGGUCU
RNAcentral lists this transfer RNA (67 nucleotides) under Amazilia rondoniae (blue-fronted emerald). RNAcentral describes it as "tRNA-Cys". The record is from RNAcentral. Lineage: Eukaryota; Metazoa; Chordata; Aves; Apodiformes; Trochilidae.